ACUAUGUCUAGCCCUAAACAUUGACAAUGAACUACAACCAUUGUCCGCCUGGGAACUACGAGCACCAGCUUAAAACCCAAAGGACUUGGCGGUGCUUUAGAUCCAC
RNAcentral lists this ribosomal RNA (106 nucleotides) under Siganus doliatus (barred spinefoot). RNAcentral's name for it is "partial small subunit ribosomal RNA". Lineage: Eukaryota; Metazoa; Chordata; Actinopteri; Siganidae. The record is from RNAcentral.